GCUGUCCAAACCUUCGCAUUCUCAUGCAUUUAAAACAGAGCUGUAGUUUGAAAUUUCUUCCAUAGACCGACCUCUAGUGUUUCCGACUGACAAGCACAGGAAGAAAGAGGCAAGGUGAUAAUAUCUCUGUCAACUGAGAUCUGCUGCACUUGUAGAUCAUGGAAACAUGGAACUUAUAUGAAGGCAAUGUCUAUCCAAAAAGGAGUUAUACAAGAUACAGAAGUCCAACACAUUCAUUUUUGCAUGAGCUGGUCAUGGAUGGACCUUGAGAAUAUUUGCAAAUGGGCCACUGGAAAGCAUCUGACCACAGACAACUUGAACAAAGGAGAAACUAACAAGAACUGAUGGGUAAAACUUCCAUGAUUUGCCACUUAGAAGCAAACCCUUGGUAAAGAUGCCCAUUUCUUAGGCUCUUGGGCCCUCUCUCUGAUGUCAUG
This is a long non-coding RNA of Cavia porcellus (domestic guinea pig), 437 nucleotides long. RefSeq lists it as uncharacterized. The transcript has 3 exons. The record is from RefSeq and is a predicted model, not a curated record. NCBI's taxonomy places the organism in Eukaryota, Metazoa, Chordata, Mammalia, Rodentia, Caviidae.